GAAACAUGCAACAGCCACUGAGCCUGGACGGCAGGAAGAGUGGAGGAAGCAGCGGAAUAUAGAGGCUCUUGGCCAGAAGCAGGAGCAAUGGAAUAUGAGCAAAGGCAGCAUGUGUUUGUUCAGAAGGAGGGAGGGAGGCUGUCAACGGUCCAGCAGCAGAGAACAACGUGGGGAUAAUAUCAGAAGCAGGCACUGACGAGAAACGGAGGGAGAGGGUGGGGGUGUGAGCCAAGGAACAUGCUGACGAAAAAGUUUCAGGCUUCAAGAGGGAUAGAACUUGCAUGACACUGCCAUCCAGCCAGGAGUGGUGGGAGACGAUGCAUGGGGAAAGGACAAAUCUUUUCCGGCAUCUCAAUAUGAAUUCGGUGUCCUCCCUUCGCAAUGCCUACUGAUACCAGAAGACUUGGGAAACAUACUAUCCCAUGUCACGUCUGGCUCCUACAGAAGAAGACCAAGAUGGGACACUCAGCAAAGACUGGGAAGGGAUCUUUGUUUAGUUUUGAGCCUAAGGAAUACAACAAGAUGGGUACUUAUGGAUCUAAGCAGACCAUCCAUAAUGGAUACAGUCGCCACUCCAGACUAUCACUUACCACUCUGAAGUGGCAUUCAAAGAUCUUUAGGACUGGUGAGAACUGUCAUAAUGAGUCAAGCAGUAUGAGAUGGCGUAAGUGUCAGGGGCAGGGAUUACAACACAACAGCGCCUCUGUGAGGGACCGCUCAAGAGAAUGCAGCUUUGUGGAAAACCUCCACCAAACCCAGACACCCCUCCCUUUGAGGAAAUGUGCUCUGGAUUUACCGACGCAGUUCAUAGGUCAAAGAAACUGUGGAGUGCCUGUUUGCGUGGUGGCACAACAAUCCAGCUCUGUCAGAGAGUCGCAGCCGCCUGGGCAAUCUGAAGCAAACGAAUACACCUUUAACAAACGUCAGACACCUAAAACCAGCUGCAGGAGCAAUCUAGAACACUAUAGUGUGGACAACGCAAGACAGAAUUUUCCUAACUCAAUGGGACAUGUAGCAGAAGACAGUGAUGGGUCCAGGUCCAUGCAUGAAGUUUUCUUCUCUACAGAAGUUCCCCAAAACAUCACCAUCAACCACAAUGAGAGCUCUCAUAAAGGGAAUUUGCAAAAUAUGUCAAACAACGGGGGGCAGUCCAUGAGUGGAGAAGCUUAUGCCUUCAAAUCAAAGAAAACUCAGAUGGUUCUCCAAGACCAGAUCCGUAAAGUGGUUGUCAACCUUGAGGAAGUUCUCUGUGGCUUAAAGGAAGUGCAUUUGGAAAUGAAGGAGGUGGUCCAGCAGAUUGACCAGCUGACCUCCAUCAUUGACCUGAGAGAGGAUGUCAGCGGAGAGGCUUCUGGGCAUUGCAGCCCAAUUGAGAGAGUUUCUACAUCAGAGGAAGCAAAGCAUGUAGACACCAGCAUCCACAAUUCUGGGUACUCAAAAAACCCAGGUCUUGUGUCAACACUACCAGGGGGCACGGGAAGACUUGAAGCAUGUAAUAAAGACCAGACACCAGGUGAAUGCCCCCCUAGUGUUGUGCCACCAGCAUACACAGCUGCACUUUUAUCUAUAAACAAUUCAGGACAGAAAUUUAAUCACGGAACAACAGUGUCCCAAAUUAAGGGGCCUAAAACAGAGGCCAGUGCGCUGUCUAGAAGCCAGAAGCCUCCUCCUUACCCCCUUAACAACAGAACCUUGAGGGCAAAUAAAGGGAAAACGCCCCCAUAUGCAGGCAGACGAAGACUGCUGUCCACUACUGUGUAAUGGGGCAGUUGCUUGAGGGCAGCUAGGGGAAGAUUACAGUUUGACGAAGCCAGUAUCCAAGGAGACCGGCGGCAUUAACUGUGCUCUUUUAGACCAACUUGUGAGACAAUUUCACAAGGCACCUGUGGAUUUACAGAAACUGUGGUCUACAGAAACAUUUGGAGAAGAAUUUAUUUACAUAUUCAGGUUUGUUUUUUUUUUAUUUAGUAACAAUCUGUUAUUUGUAAAGAAUUUGUAUUUCCAUACAUUUUGACAGCAGAACUAGUAUCAUCUGCAUUGUUGUAAAGAUCAGAUUAGAUGUGAAUUGAUUUAAUUUUUUUAUAUGACUGAAUCGUUAAAGGGGUGUUUGUAGUGGGAAAAUCUACCCCAUCACUUUUGUAUUACUGUUGUACUCAUGCAUCUUUGGAAACCUUUUGAUCUUGGUCAGAAUCAAAGAGGAUCAAGAGCUUAUGUGUAUAUGAGAUUACUGCAAAAAUCCCAUGGUGCCAGACACACACACAUUUUACUGCUAUGCGUUUCGAUAUGCAGGCGUAAAAAAAUAUACCCGGAAGAAAUUUUAUGAUUUCAGUUCACAACUCUCUGAAUUAUAUAAUAGCUUCAUUACAAAUCACUCAGUCAUCUGAAAGCAGGCCUCUUUCAGUCAAGCAUUUGGAGCCCAGCUGGAUAUUUCAGGCUGAAGCUCUGCUUCUUAAGAUUAAUUGAUUAAUGUGAACACCUGGAGGAACACCAAGAUGGCAGAGCUUUGGCUCAAAACCACAAGGGGAGAGGAAUAAUGGAUGUACUAUUGUAGAGAACACAGUUACUUGCACAAACUUUUUGCUGACUUGAGUAGAAAAACCUCAUAAUUGAAACCACAAAUAAAAUAACAGAGCUGUGUGUGAGCACCACUUGCAUUAAGAAAGAGCUUCGAUUAUCAGGAAGUUUGAGGGUAUUUUAAAGGUACAGUUGAACUUAAACCUCUACCAUGGUUUAGAAUGAAAGUAUUAUAACAUGAUGGAAAAUUUAUUUCGAUCAUUUCUAAUAACAGCAAAUUCACGAGACAAGUUACAUCAAGGCAACCAUUUCCUCUACAGUCUCUAAAGUUACCAAGAACCUGCAAAGUACUAACUUCUUAAGAUGUUUCUAUAGUAGAAAACUUAUCCGUACUACCUCGGGUCACGGGGAGCCUGUGCCUAUCUCAGGCGUCAUCGGGCAUCAAGGCAGGAUACACCCUGGUGAGAGUGCCAACCCAUCGCAGGGCACACACACUCAUUCACUCAUGCAAUCACGCACUAGGGACAAUUUUUCCAGAGAUGCCAAUCAACCUACCAUGCAUGUCUUUGGACCGGGGGAGGAAACCGGAGUACCCGGAGGAAACCCCCGAGGCACUGGGAGAACAUGCAAACUCCACACACACAAGGUAGAGGCGGGAAUCGAACCCCGACCCUGUAGGUGUGAGGCGAACGUGCUAACCACUAAGCCACCGUGCCUCCCAAGACUCCUUCAUAUAUUUUUCCAGAGAUGCCAAUCAACCUACCAUGCAUGUCUUUGGACCGCGGGAGGAAACCCCCGGGAGUACCCGGAGGAAACCCCCAAGGCACCGGAGGAAACCCCCGAGGCACAGGGAGAACAUGCAAACUCCACACACACAAGGUGGAGGCGGGAAUCGAACCCCGACCCUGUAGGUGUGAGGCGAAAGUGCUAAGCACUAAGCCACCGUGCCUCCCAAGACUCCUUCAUAUCAUUUGAAUUAUCACUACUUUUGGAGUGUCUUCAGAAUCAAAACCUUCUGACCAAUCAGAUCCCAGAAUUCAAUAAUACUCAGGUAUUAUAAUUAUUGUUGCAGCAUAUUCUGCUUAGAUUAAAUUAUGUAGAGUUUAAUGCCA
This is an RNA transcript of Tachysurus vachellii, 3626 nucleotides long. RefSeq lists it as uncharacterized. The transcript has 3 exons. NCBI's taxonomy places the organism in Eukaryota, Metazoa, Chordata, Actinopteri, Siluriformes, Bagridae. The record is from RefSeq and is a predicted model, not a curated record.